RNAcentral lists this ribosomal RNA (497 nucleotides) under uncultured bacterium. RNAcentral describes it as "partial 16S ribosomal RNA". It matches the Rfam family "Bacterial small subunit ribosomal RNA", at positions 28 to 507 of the family's 1533-position model. The record is from RNAcentral.
GAUGAACGCUGGCGGCGUGCCUAAUACAUGCAAGUCGAGCGAACAGACGAGGAGCUUGCUCCUCUGACGUUAGCGGCGGACGGGUGAGUAACACGUGGAUAACCUACCUAUAAGACUGGGAUAACUUCGGGAAACCGGAGCUAAUACCGGAUAAUAUAUUGAACCGCAUGGUUCAAUAGUGAAAGACGGUUUUGCUGUCACUUAUAGAUGGAUCCGCGCCGCAUUAGCUAGUUGGUAAGGUAACGGCUUACCAAGGCAACGAUGCGUAGCCGACCUGAGAGGGUGAUCGGCCACACUGGAACUGAGACACGGUCCAGACUCCUACGGGAGGCAGCAGUAGGGAAUCUUCCGCAAUGGGCGAAAGCCUGACGGAGCAGCGCCGCGUGAGUGAUGAAGGUCCUCGGAUCGUAAAACUCUGUUAUUAGGGAAGAACAAAUGUGUAAGUAACUAUGCACGUCUUGACGGUACCUAAUCAGAAAGCCACGGCUAACUACGUG